Molecule: ribosomal RNA, 253 nt
Filed under: uncultured bacterium
Lineage: Bacteria
Description: partial 16S ribosomal RNA
Rfam family: Bacterial small subunit ribosomal RNA
Source: RNAcentral
GACGUAGGGCGCGAGCGUUGUCCGGAUUUAUUGGGCGUAAAGAGCUCGUAGGCGGCUUGUUGCGUCAGCUGUGAAAACCCGCAGCUCAACUGUGGGCUUGCAGCUGAUACGGGCAGGCUUGAGUUCGGUAGGGGAGACUGGAAUUCCUGGUGUAGCGGCGAAAUGCGCAGAUAUCAGGAGGAACACCGGUGGCGAAGGCGGGUCUCUGGGCCGAUACUGACGCUGAGGAGCGAAAGCGUGGGGAGCGAACAGG